AGCUUUACACAGUGACAGUAUCACAGCCAAUGAGGUUUAUCUGAGGCAUGAUUAUUGCUAAUGGAAAACAUUCAUGACAGUGUUACAGUAGAAAAAUUAAAAACACCAAAUUUUCCAAUGUUUGGAAUAUAAUUCCUAUUUAU
Cavia porcellus (domestic guinea pig) is the source of this 143-nucleotide small nuclear RNA. Its record names the gene U4. It matches the Rfam family "U4 spliceosomal RNA". From Rfam's summary of the family: U4 small nuclear RNA (U4 snRNA) is a component of the major U2-dependent spliceosome. The structure of U4 snRNA from yeast and human has been reported. U4 snRNA presents a k-turn RNA motif in the 5p-SL related to recognition of Snu13 protein. NCBI's taxonomy places the organism in Eukaryota, Metazoa, Chordata, Mammalia, Rodentia, Caviidae. The record is from Ensembl.